RNAcentral lists this ribosomal RNA (472 nucleotides) under Streptococcus anginosus. RNAcentral describes it as "bacterial SSU rRNA". It matches the Rfam family "Bacterial small subunit ribosomal RNA", at positions 28 to 474 of the family's 1533-position model. Lineage: Bacteria; Bacillati; Bacillota; Bacilli; Lactobacillales; Streptococcaceae. The record is from RNAcentral.
GACGAGCGCUGGCGGCGUGCCUAAUACAUGCAAGUAGGACGCACAGUUUAUACCGUAGCUUGCUACACCAUAGACUGUGAGUUGCGAACGGGUGAGUAACGCGUAGGUAACCUGCCUAUUAGAGGGGGAUAACUAUUGGAAACGAUAGCUAAUACCGCAUAACAGUAUGUAACACAUGUUAGAUGCUUGAAAGAUGCAAUUGCAUCGCUAGUAGAUGGACCUGCGUUGUAUUAGCUAGUAGGUAGGGUAAUGGCCUACCUAGGCGACGAUACAUAGCCGACCUGAGAGGGUGAUCGGCCACACUGGGACUGAGACACGGCCCAGACUCCUACGGGAGGCAGCAGUAGGGAAUCUUCGGCAAUGGGGGGAACCCUGACCGAGCAACGCCGCGUGAGUGAAGAAGGUUUUCGGAUCGUAAAGCUCUGUUGUUAAGGAAGAACGAGUGUGAGAAUGGAAAGUUCAUACUGUGACG